CUAAGAAUAGUCCGCAAUGGGGGAAACCCUGACGGUGCGACGCCGCGUGAACGAUGAAGGCCUGACGGUUGUAAAGUUCUUUUCUCGAUGAAGAAUAAGGACAGGAGUGGAACGCCUGUCCGAUGACGUUAGUCGAGGAAUAAGUCCCGGCUAAUUACGUGCCAGCAGCCGCGGUAAUACGUAUGGGACGAGCGUUGUUCGGAAUUAUUGGGCGUAAAGGGCGCGUAGGCGGUUUCGUAAGCCUGGUGUGAAAGGCUCCGGCCCAACCGGAGUUGUGCGCUAGGAACUGCGAGACUCGAGUUCUUGAGGGGAAGCUGGAAUUCCUGGUGUAGGGGUGAAAUCUGUAGAUAUCAGGAAGAACACCGGUGGCGAAGGCGAGCUUCUGGCAAGUAACUGACGCUGAGGCGCGAAAGCGUGGGGAGCGAACAGGAUUAGAUACCCCCGUAGUCC
RNAcentral lists this ribosomal RNA (450 nucleotides) under uncultured prokaryote. RNAcentral's name for it is "bacterial SSU rRNA". It matches the Rfam family "Bacterial small subunit ribosomal RNA", at positions 355 to 796 of the family's 1533-position model. The record is from RNAcentral.